Molecule: long non-coding RNA, 344 nt
Organism: Nomascus leucogenys (northern white-cheeked gibbon)
Lineage: Eukaryota; Metazoa; Chordata; Mammalia; Primates; Hylobatidae
Exons: 3
Source: RefSeq, a predicted model, not a curated record
GGAAAUAGAGGCACCGAAGAAUAAGCUCUCCUGAACGAUUUUCACUGGAAAGAUUUUUCAACAUUCCAUCUGUCCACUCCACCAGCCUGAGACAGCCAUCUUUACUGAGGUUUUGAACAGCUAUGAUGGCAGGAGUUGGAGCAGCCAUUUUGGGCCAUGAGAUGAAAGCCUUAUAUUGAGCCAUGUUUUGAGCAGAAGAACAGAAAAGAAGGAACCUGGGCCCCUGACAUUACUGAGCCACCAUAAAGACCUAGGCUCUCUACUGGAACUUCAGAGUCCUAAGUGUCUUCCUGGAGACUUUGGGACACUCUCAGGCAACAGAGGAGCAGAGAAACAUGAUGGUG